This 953-nucleotide non-coding RNA is filed under the name Ariosoma meeki. RNAcentral describes it as "12S ribosomal RNA". It matches the Rfam family "Bacterial small subunit ribosomal RNA". Lineage: Eukaryota; Metazoa; Chordata; Actinopteri; Anguilliformes; Congridae. The record is from RNAcentral.
CAAAAGCCUGGUCCUGACUUUAACAUCAGUUGUAACCUAAAUUAUACAUGCAAGUAUCCGCGCCCCUGUGAGCAAACCUUUCUUCGCCAAUAAUGGAAGAAAUUUUGGGCAUCAGGCACACCUAAGGGUAGCCCAAAACGCCCAGCCGCGCCACACCCCCAAGGGAAUUCAGCAGUAAGAGGUAUUAAUAUAUAAGCGAAAGCUUGACUUAGUUAGGGUAAUAGUAGAGCCGGUAAAACUCGUGCCAGCCACCGCGGUUAUACGAGGGGCUCAAAUUGAUGAAUAGCGGCGUAAAGAGUGAUUAGAGAACGCCAGACUAAAGCUGAAAGCACGCCCAGUUGUCAUACGCUAUGAUGAAUGGAAACCAAAAACGAAAGUAGCUUUAAGAAUCUUGAAUUCACGACCAUUGAGGAACAAACCGGGAUUAGAUACCCCGCUAUGCUCAAUAGUAAACAAUGGUGGCAGAAUACACAAGCCAUCCGCCAGGGGAUUACGAGCACCUAGCUUAAAACCCAAAGGACUUGACGGUGCCUUAGGUCCACUUAGAGGAGCCUGUCCUAUAACCGAUAUACCUCGUUGAACCUCACUACUCCUUGCCAGAUCAGCCUAUAUACCACCGUCGGCAGCUUACCUUGUGAAAGCCAUUGUAGUGAGCUAAAUGGAAUAAAGAUCCAGAACGUCAGGUCGAGGUGUAGCAAACGGGGUAGGAAGAGAUGGGCUACACUUUCUGGAUCAGAAAAGACGAAAGGUGGAAUGAAAAUAACACAACCGAAGGUGGAUUUAACAGUAAGAUUGAAAAAAGAGAGUUCAGCUGAAUAAGGCUCUAAGGCAAGUACACACCGCCCGUCAUUCUCUUCUAGGGCAAGAUGACCGACUAGAUAAUGCUUAAAACACCCAACAGAAGAGACAAGUCGUAACAUGGUAAGUGUACCGGAAGGUGCGCUUGGAACAAC